GCUGCGCUGGCGCAAUGGUUAGCGCGUUGCUUUCCGGUGGCAAAGGUUCCAAGUUCGAGUCCUGGGUGCAGCU
This is a transfer RNA of Fusarium graminearum, 73 nucleotides long. It matches the Rfam family "tRNA". From Rfam's summary of the family: Transfer RNA (tRNA) molecules are approximately 80 nucleotides in length. Lineage: Eukaryota; Fungi; Ascomycota; Sordariomycetes; Hypocreales; Nectriaceae. The record is from Rfam.